Molecule: non-coding RNA, 112 nt
Organism: Acanthosepion pharaonis
Lineage: Eukaryota; Metazoa; Mollusca; Cephalopoda; Sepiida; Sepiidae
Source: the annotation of a GenBank genome assembly
UAGGGCCAUAUCACGUUAAAACACUGAUUCCCGUAUGAUCAUCGAACUUAAUCAAUGUCGAGCCUGAUCAGUACUUAGGUAGGUGACCGCUUGAGAAUACCAGGUGCUGUAA